RNAcentral lists this transfer RNA (62 nucleotides) under Clavisyllis tenjini. Its description in RNAcentral is "tRNA-Ala". The record is from RNAcentral. Lineage: Eukaryota; Metazoa; Annelida; Polychaeta; Phyllodocida; Syllidae.
AAAAGACUAAUUUAUUAAGAAUAUGUGAUUUGCAAUCAUAAUGAGGCUCACGCUGUUUUUUA